GCUUCGGCUCUCCUUUUCGUGUUUUCAUUACCUGGAUUAGUUGGAUUCGGUACCGUAUUCCGCAUGCACCGGCCGCUAGCACGAGGAGUACGUAGCUAGCUAGCGUGCUCGUGUGUCAGAAAACCGCCGUCGGCAAGCCACUUUUCGACAGACCAGUUUUAGUUGCUUUUCCGACAGCAUCGAUCGUGGAGAAAAGAUACAGGGGAAGAAUGGUCAAGGACUCAACGUAAUUGCAGGAUGACCAAGACCAGUCUAGCUAGCUAGCCCCUCUGGAUCGACUGAUCAAAGUGUUGAUGACAUCUCAUUCGAUCACCAACCCACGCCAAUAGACACGUUCACGCACUAUACAUAGAAACAAGGCCAACCCGUAUUAUAUACGCCUACACUUACUAGGCAUGCUCGCAAAUCUCGGCAUAGAUAUAUUCUAGAGACUUGUCAGUUUAAAUGUUUUUUGCUCAAAAUUAUAUUCGAAGACCUAGAGAAUAGCCUAAAAAGGGAACAUAUACGCACUCUUUUCCUCGAAAGAUUCCUGUGAGACUGUAAUGUGAGCCUGCUAUUAAUAAAGUAGUGUUUCUUAUAGCCAAAUUAUUAUACAUGGUAGCUAUUAUAUUACUUAAAGAUGACAUGGUAAUGCUUACAGCCAACAACAGGCUAUAGCUGUUAAUCUUGUUCUAAGGGCAUCUUCAAUAAGGGGUACUACACGGGUACCAAGAAGGUAGUAACCAAUGGGGAGGAAAUAUGAAUACCACAACUAAAUAGUGAUUUCUUAAAAAAAGUAAUAGUUACUACACGGAUAACAAGACAGAAAAGAGAAUAACAAGUGGGUCUAUCAAAAAACAAAAAAGUAAAAAAUAUUAAAAGUAGAGAAAAAAUUUAGUAUGGAGAUGCCCUAAGUAGCUCCUCCUGUCCCCGGGCCGGAAGCUAGCUGCCGGAUAAUUGAUGGCGCUUCACGUGGGGGAUCUACGUAGCUCUCGCCUCGUUUUGCUCGAUCUCCUCUCAUCCCAUAUGUUCAGGCUAAUAAUUCGAUCGACCCGGUCCGCGGUGGAACGCGACGUUAACGCGGGCAUCCAUGUGUCCGUGCCACAAGGCCGGCAAGUCGGCAACGAGCUAGCCAGCUAGCUAGCCAGGCUUGUGUGGAUCGAUCUAUCGAGCAAAGGGCGCCGGCCGGCCGUGUCGGCUGUCACCGCCAAACGUAUAGAUCGAUCUAGACGCCGCCCGCGUAUGCAUGUGCAGCUACUAGUUAGCUAGCUACGGAUCAGUCUACUGUCAUUAGCCUUUCACUUUCAAAAGAUAAAGAAAACCGUAGCAUAAUUAGCUAACUAACCACACUAAUUGGAUGGAGAAGAUUUCUGGUAUUGGUAGCUGGUACGAAGUCACACGUGCAAGCUAAUUAAGUCCAGCAGCAGUGACGCUACUCAAAUAAUAGUAUCGGUCGAGGUCGUGUGCAUGCACACAGUGUUGCAACUGUUGUUGGUGUCCAAGUGUAGCUACAGCUAUAUACACAGCUCUCCCGCUAGCUAGCUAGGAACUGCAGCUUGCAUGCUUAAUUAGACCCCGGCGUGUGAUUAUAUAUUGGUCUAGCGUACGUACGUUCGCCUUUGCGUGUUCUUUGCUCUAGCUAGCUUCGGCUCUCCUUUUCGUGUUUUCAUUACCUGGAUUAGUUGGAUUCGGUACCGUAUUCCGCAUGCACCGGCCGCUAGCACGAGGAGUACGUAGCUAGCUAGCGUGCUCGUGUGUCAGAAAACCGCCGUCGGCAAGCCACUUUUCGACAGACCAGUUUUAGUUGCUUUUCCGACAGCAUCGAUCGUGGAGAAAAGAUACAGGGGAAGAAUGGUCAAGGACUCAACGUAAUUGCAGGAUGACCAAGACCAGUCUAGCUAGCUAGCCCCUCUGGAUCGACUGAUCAAAGUGUUGAUGACAUCUCAUUCGAUCACCAACCCACGCCAAUAGACACGUUCACGCACUAUACAUAGAAACAAGGCCAACCCGUAUUAUAUACGCCUACACUUACUAGGCAUGCUCGCAAAUCUCGGCAUAGAUAUAUUCUAGAGACUUGUCAGUUUAAAUGUUUUUUGCUCAAAAUUAUAUUCGAAGACCUAGAGAAUAGCCUAAAAAGGGAACAUAUACGCACUCUUUUCCUCGAAAGAUUCCUGUGAGACUGUAAUGUGAGCCUGCUAUUAAUAAAGUAGUGUUUCUUAUAGCCAAAUUAUUAUACAUGGUAGCUAUUAUAUUACUUAAAGAUGACAUGGUAAUGCUUACAGCCAACAACAGGCUAUAGCUGUUAAUCUUGUUCUAAGGGCAUCUUCAAUAAGGGGUACUACACGGGUACCAAGAAGGUAGUAACCAAUGGGGAGGAAAUAUGAAUACCACAACUAAAUAGUGAUUUCUUAAAAAAAGUAAUAGUUACUACACGGAUAACAAGACAGAAAAGAGAAUAACAAGUGGGUCUAUCAAAAAACAAAAAAGUAAAAAAUAUUAAAAGUAGAGAAAAAAUUUAGUAUGGAGAUGCCCUAAGUAGCUCCUCCUGUCCCCGGGCCGGAAGCUAGCUGCCGGAUAAUUGAUGGCGCUUCACGUGGGGGAUCUACGUAGCUCUCGCCUCGUUUUGCUCGAUCUCCUCUCAUCCCAUAUGUUCAGGCUAAUAAUUCGAUCGACCCGGUCCGCGGUGGAACGCGACGUUAACGCGGGCAUCCAUGUGUCCGUGCCACAAGGCCGGCAAGUCGGCAACGAGCUAGCCAGCUAGCUAGCCAGGCUUGUGUGGAUCGAUCUAUCGAGCAAAGGGCGCCGGCCGGCCGUGUCGGCUGUCACCGCCAAACGUAUAGAUCGAUCUAGACGCCGCCCGCGUAUGCAUGUGCAGCUACUAGUUAGCUAGCUACGGAUCAGUCUACUGUCAUUAGCCUUUCACUUUCAAAAGAUAAAGAAAACCGUAGCAUAAUUAGCUAACUAACCACACUAAUUGGAUGGAGAAGAUUUCUGGUAUUGGUAGCUGGUACGAAGUCACACGUGCAAGCUAAUUAAGUCCAGCAGCAGUGACGCUACUCAAAUAAUAGUAUCGGUCGAGGUCGUGUGCAUGCACACAGUGUUGCAACUGUUGUUGGUGUCCAAGUGUAGCUACAGCUAUAUACACAGCUCUCCCGCUAGCUAGCUAGGAACUGCAGCUUGCAUGCUUAAUUAGACCCCGGCGUGUGAUUAUAUAUUGGUCUAGCGUACGUACGUUCGCCUUUGCGUGUUCUUUGCUCUAGCUAGCUUCGGCUCUCCUUUUCGUGUUUUCAUUACCUGGAUUAGUUGGAUUCGGUACCGUAUUCCGCAUGCACCGGCCGCUAGCACGAGGAGUACGUAGCUAGCUAGCGUGCUCGUGUGUCAGAAAACCGCCGUCGGCAAGCCACUUUUCGACAGACCAGUUUUAGUUGCUUUUCCGACAGCAUCGAUCGUGGAGAAAAGAUACAGGGGAAGAAUGGUCAAGGACUCAACGUAAUUGCAGGAUGACCAAGACCAGUCUAGCUAGCUAGCCCCUCUGGAUCGACUGAUCAAAGUGUUGAUGACAUCUCAUUCGAUCACCAACCCACGCCAAUAGACACGUUCACGCACUAUACAUAGAAACAAGGCCAACCCGUAUUAUAUACGCCUACACUUACUAGGCAUGCUCGCAAAUCUCGGCAUAGAUAUAUUCUAGAGACUUGUCAGUUUAAAUGUUUUUUGCUCAAAAUUAUAUUCGAAGACCUAGAGAAUAGCCUAAAAAGGGAACAUAUACGCACUCUUUUCCUCGAAAGAUUCCUGUGAGACUGUAAUGUGAGCCUGCUAUUAAUAAAGUAGUGUUUCUUAUAGCCAAAUUAUUAUACAUGGUAGCUAUUAUAUUACUUAAAGAUGACAUGGUAAUGCUUACAGCCAACAACAGGCUAUAGCUGUUAAUCUUGUUCUAAGGGCAUCUUCAAUAAGGGGUACUACACGGGUACCAAGAAGGUAGUAACCAAUGGGGAGGAAAUAUGAAUACCACAACUAAAUAGUGAUUUCUUAAAAAAAGUAAUAGUUACUACACGGAUAACAAGACAGAAAAGAGAAUAACAAGUGGGUCUAUCAAAAAACAAAAAAGUAAAAAAUAUUAAAAGUAGAGAAAAAAUUUAGUAUGGAGAUGCCCUAAGUAGCUCCUCCUGUCCCCGGGCCGGAAGCUAGCUGCCGGAUAAUUGAUGGCGCUUCACGUGGGGGAUCUACGUAGCUCUCGCCUCGUUUUG
Molecule: long non-coding RNA, 4226 nt
Filed under: Brachypodium distachyon (stiff brome)
Lineage: Eukaryota; Viridiplantae; Streptophyta; Magnoliopsida; Poales; Poaceae
Description: long non-coding RNA (BDIS_LNC006019)
Source: RNAcentral